AAGCCAGACUCCUACGGGAGGCAGCAGUGGGGGAUAUUGCACAAUGGGGGAAACCCUGAUGCAGCGACGCCGCGUGGGUGAAGAAGCGCCUCGGCGCGUAAAGCCCUGUCAGCAGGGAAGAAAAUGACGGUACCUGAAGAAGAAGCCCCGGCUAACUACGUGCCAGCAGCCGCGGUAAUACGUAGGGGGCAAGCGUUAUCCGGAUUUACUGGGUGUAAAGGGGGCGCAGACGGCGAUGCAAGCCAGGAGUGAAAGCCCGGGGCCCAACCCCGGGACUGCUCUUGGAACUGCGUGGCUGGAGUGCAGGAGGGGCAGGCGGAAUUCCUGGUGUAGCGGUGAAAUGCGUAGAUAUCAGGAGGAACACCGGUGGCGAAGGCGGCCUGCUGGACUGCAACUGACGUUGAGGCCCGAAAGCGUGGGGAGCAAACAGGAUUAGAUACCCCCGUACC
This 449-nucleotide ribosomal RNA is filed under the name uncultured bacterium. RNAcentral's name for it is "bacterial SSU rRNA". It matches the Rfam family "Bacterial small subunit ribosomal RNA", at positions 328 to 794 of the family's 1533-position model. The record is from RNAcentral.